AUUGAACGCUGGCGGCAGGCCUAACACAUGCAAGUCGAACGAGUGGCGGACGGGUGAGUAAUGUCUCGGAAACUGCCUGAUGGAGGGGGAUAACUACUGGAAACGGUAGCUAAUACCGCAUACCAUCGAAUGUGCCCAGAUGGGAUUAUCUAGUAGGUGGGGUAAAGGCUCAACUAGGCGACGAUCCCUAGCUGGUCUGAGAGGAGGACCAGCCACACUGGAACUGAGACACGGGCCAGACUCCUACGGUAGGCAGCAGUGGGGAAUAUUGCACAAUGGGCGCAAGCCUGAUGCAGGCAGGCCGCGUGUAUGAAGAAGGCCUUAGGGUUGUAAAGUACUUUCAGCGUGGAGGCGUUACCCGCAGAAGAAGCACCGGCUAACUCCGUGCCAGCAGCCGCGGUAAUAC
RNAcentral lists this ribosomal RNA (406 nucleotides) under uncultured bacterium. RNAcentral describes it as "partial 16S ribosomal RNA". It matches the Rfam family "Bacterial small subunit ribosomal RNA", at positions 30 to 526 of the family's 1533-position model. The record is from RNAcentral.